GACAGAGGGUGCAAACGUUGUUCGGAAUUACUGGGCGUAAAGCGCGUGUAGGCGGCUAAGUAAGUCGGGCGUGAAAUCCCACGGCUCAACCGUGGAAGUGCACUCGAAACUGCAUAGCUAGAGUCCUGGAGAGGAAGGUGGAAUGCUUGGUGUAGAGGUGAAAUUCGUAGAUAUCAAGCGGAACACCGGUGGCGAAGGCGGCCUUCUGGACAGUGACUGACGCUGAGACGCGAAAGCGUGGGAGCAAACAGG
This 252-nucleotide ribosomal RNA is filed under the name uncultured bacterium. RNAcentral describes it as "partial 16S ribosomal RNA". It matches the Rfam family "Bacterial small subunit ribosomal RNA", at positions 524 to 776 of the family's 1533-position model. The record is from RNAcentral.